RNAcentral lists this ribosomal RNA (421 nucleotides) under uncultured bacterium. RNAcentral describes it as "partial 16S ribosomal RNA". It matches the Rfam family "Bacterial small subunit ribosomal RNA", at positions 360 to 773 of the family's 1533-position model. The record is from RNAcentral.
AAUCUUGGACAAUGGGGGAAAGCUUGAUCCAGCCAUGCCGCGUGUGUGAAGAAGGUCUUCGGAUUGUAAAGCACUUUAAGUUGGGAGGAAGGGCUUUAGGUUAAUACCCUGAAGUUUUGACGUUACCAACAGAAUAAGCACCGGCUAACUCUGUGCCAGCAGCCGCGGUAAUACAGAGGGUGCAAGCGUUAAUCGGAAUUAAUGGGCGUAAAGCGGGCGUAGGGGGGUCAGUAAGAUGGGUGUGAAAUACCCGGGCUUAAACUGGGAACUGCUUUCAUAACUGCUGAGCUAGAGUACGGUAGAGGGGAGUGGAAUUUCCUGGGUAGGGGUGAAAUGCGUAGAUAUAGGAAGGAACACCAGGGGCGAAGGCGACUACCUGGGCUGAUACUGACACUGAGGUGCGAAAGCGUGGGGAGGAAAC